CAGGGCUCUCCAGGAUACAAUGGAAUGUCUAGGGAAGAGCUGCAGAUGUCAUGGAAACUGACAUUGCUUUCCUGAUAAUGAGCUCUCCUCAUAAUACAGUAGAAGUCAAGCUGACCUUUGCAGGAAGCCUCUGCUGGGAUUCAAGGGAAGCCCUUCAGCACCACCUUCUUCCAAAGCCAGAGUUCUCUCCCCAGUUGAUUGGACAUCCUUUCGUUCUUUCGAGGUGUGGAAGCUAAUGUUUAUCUCCUACUGAAAUUUUAUGCACACAAGAUAUUGGGAAUUGGAUCUGAAUUCACUGCCUUGACUAUGAAUUUCAAUUUUAUGCUAUGUCCUUCCUUGAAGGUCAGAAGAAGCUCCUUAAAGCUGAGAGAAAAGUAGCACCUUAAAUUCCAGGUGAACAUCUCUUGCUGGGAACAGAGGAAUCAGAUGCUGAACUUACCAAAAAUGCUGAAAAUGAUGCUUUAGAGCAGAGAAUCACUUCAUUUGGCUGAAAAAUUACAUUUCUCUUCAUGACUGUUACCAAUCAUUGUGUGUAGAUCCUGUCCUUUUACCGUUUGGAAAGACUCACCAGCUAGCUAUUCUUUAUUUAUUAGCCACUUUCAGAUCCUAAAGGCAAAGAAGAUGGAGAGGGAAGGUAGAAGUCAUCAUGUUUGAUCCUAAAUAUAGAGUUGUGUUUGCCUGUUCCAAUCUCAGAAUUCUAAUCCUUAUCUGGCUAAUCUAACAACAAAUAAAUGCCAACUGUGC
Non-coding RNA from Peromyscus maniculatus bairdii (prairie deer mouse), 744 nucleotides. NCBI's taxonomy places the organism in Eukaryota, Metazoa, Chordata, Mammalia, Rodentia, Cricetidae. The record is from RefSeq and is a predicted model, not a curated record.